AGAGUUUGAUCCUGGCUCAGAUUGAACGCUGGCGGCAUGCCUUACACAUGCAAGUCGGACGGCAGCGCGGGCUUCGGCCUGGCGGCGAGUGGCGAACGGGUGAGUAAUACAUCGGAACGUGUCCCGUAGUGGGGGAUAGCCCGGCGAAAGCCGGAUUAAUACCGCAUACGAUCUGUGGAUGAAAGCGGGGGAUCGCAAGACCUCGCGCUAUGGGGGCGGCCGAUGGCGGAUUAGGUAGUUGGUGGGGUAAAGGCCUACCAAGCCGACGAUCCGUAGCUGGUCUGAGAGGACGACCAGCCACACUGGGACUGAGACACGGCCCAGACUCCUACGGGAGGCAGCAGUGGGGAAUUUUGGACAAUGGGCGCAAGCCUGAUCCAGCAAUGCCGCGUGUGUGAAGAAGGCCUUCGGGUUGUAAAGCACUUUUGUCCGGAAAGAAAUCUUCUGAGCUAAUACCUCGGGAGGAUGACGGUACCGGAAGAAUAAGCACCGGCUAACUACGUGCCAGCAGCCGCGGUAAUACGUAGGGUGCGAGCGUUAAUCGGAAUUACUGGGCGUAAAGCGUGCGCAGGCGGUGCUGUAAGACCGAUGUGAAAUCCCCGGGCUUAACCUGGGAACUGCAUUGGUGACUGCAGCGCUGGAGUAUGGCAGAGGGGGGUGGAAUUCCACGUAGCAGUGAAAUGCGUAGAGAUGUGGAGGAACACCGAUGGCGAAGGCAGCCCCCUGGGCCAAUACUGACGCUCAUGCACGAAAGCGUGGGGAGCAAACAGGAUUAGAUACCCUAGUAGUCC
Molecule: ribosomal RNA, 791 nt
Filed under: uncultured bacterium
Lineage: Bacteria
Description: bacterial SSU rRNA
Rfam family: Bacterial small subunit ribosomal RNA
Source: RNAcentral